Molecule: ribosomal RNA, 507 nt
Filed under: uncultured Thiobacter sp.
Lineage: Bacteria; Pseudomonadati; Pseudomonadota; Betaproteobacteria; Burkholderiales; Thiobacteraceae
Description: bacterial SSU rRNA
Rfam family: Bacterial small subunit ribosomal RNA
Source: RNAcentral
UAAUACGUAGGGUGCGAGCGUUAAUCGGAAUUACUGGGCGUAAAGCGUGCGCAGGCGGCGUCGCAAGUCAGGCGUGAAAUCCCCGAGCUUAACUUGGGAAUUGCGCUUGAAACUACGAUGCUUGAGUGUGGCAGAGGGAGGUGGAAUUCCACGUGUAGCGGUGAAAUGCGUAGAUAUGUGGAGGAACACCGAUGGCGAAGGCAGCCUCCUGGGCUAACACUGACGCUCAUGCACGAAAGCGUGGGAGCAAACAGGAUUAGAUACCCUGGUAGUCCACGCCCUAAACGAUGUCGACUAGUUGUUGGGGGGUUAAAUCCCUUAGUAACGCAGCUAACGCGUGAAGUCGACCGCCUGGGGAGUACGGUCGCAAGAUUAAACUCAAGGAAUUGACGGGGCCCGCACAAGCGGUGGAUGAUGUGGUUUAAUUCGAUGCAACGCGAAAACCUUAACCUACCCUUGACAUGUCAGGAAUCCUGCAGAGAUGUAGGAGUGCCCGAAAGGGAACCU